GACCAACUAAGUUAGUUCUUGGUAUGAGCUUUCGUGUGCAAGCACACUUCUUCAGAUACACUGAAACAGAAGUUGCCAGAUCAGUGUAUCUGAAGAAGUGUGCUUGCACACGAAAGCUCAUACCAAGAACUAACUUAGUUGG
RNAcentral lists this microRNA precursor (142 nucleotides) under Podarcis lilfordi (Lilford's wall lizard). Lineage: Eukaryota; Metazoa; Chordata; Lepidosauria; Squamata; Lacertidae. The record is from RNAcentral.